GGAUUUUUUCGGGUGACGCUGGCGGCGUGCCUAAUACAUGCAAGUCGAGCGAACAGACGAGGAGCUUGCUCCUCUGACGUUAGCGGCGGACGGGUGAGUAACACGUGGAUAACCUACCUAUAAGACUGGGAUAACUUCGGGAAACCGGAGCUAAUACCGGAUAACAUGUUGAACCGCAUGGUUCAACAGUGAAAGACGGUUUUGCUGUCACUUAUAGAUGGAUCCGCGCCGCAUUAGCUAGUUGGUAAGGUAACGGCUUACCAAGGCAACGAUGCGUAGCCGACCUGAGAGGGUGAUCGGCCACACUGGAACUGAGACACGGUCCAGACUCCUACGGGAGGCAGCAGUAGGGAAUCUUCCGCAAUGGGCGAAAGCCUGACGGAGCAACGCCGCGUGAGUGAAGAAGGUCUUCGGAUCGUAAAACUCUGUUAUUAGGGAAGAACAAAUGUGUAAGUAACUAUGCACGUCUUGACGGUACCUAAUCAGAAAGCCACGGCUAACUACGUGCCAGCAGCCGCGGUAAUACGUAGGUGGCAAGCGUUAUCCGGAAUUAUUGGGCGUAAAGCGCGCGUAGGCGGUUUUUUAAGUCUGAUGUGAAAGCCCACGGCUCAACCGUGGAGGGUCAUUGGAAACUGGAAAACUUGAGUGCAGAAGAGGAAAGUGGAAUUCCAUGUGUAGCGGUGAAAUGCGCAGAGAUAUGGAGGAACACCAGUGGCGAAGGCGACUUUCUGGUCUGUAACUGACGCUGAUGUGCGAAAGCGUGGGGAUCAAACAGGAUUAGAUACCCUGGUAGUCCACGCCGUAAACGAUGAGUGCUAAGUGUUAGGGGGUUUCCGCCCCUUAGUGCUGCAGCUAACGCAUUAAGCACUCCGCCUGGGGAGUACGACCGCAAGGUUGAAACUCAAAGGAAUUGACGGGGACCCGCACAAGCGGUGGAGCAUGUGGUUUAAUUUCGAAGCAACGCGAAGAACCCUUACCAAAUCUUGACAUCCUCUGACCCCUCUAGAGAUAGAGUUUUCCCCUUCGGGGGACAGAGUGACAGGUGGUGCAUGGAUUGUUCGUACAGCUCCGUG
Molecule: ribosomal RNA, 1073 nt
Filed under: Staphylococcus capitis
Lineage: Bacteria; Bacillati; Bacillota; Bacilli; Caryophanales; Staphylococcaceae
Description: bacterial SSU rRNA
Rfam family: Bacterial small subunit ribosomal RNA
Source: RNAcentral